RNAcentral lists this ribosomal RNA (843 nucleotides) under uncultured bacterium. RNAcentral's name for it is "bacterial SSU rRNA". It matches the Rfam family "Bacterial small subunit ribosomal RNA", at positions 603 to 1446 of the family's 1533-position model. The record is from RNAcentral.
UAUGGNUCAACCAUAGUGUGCUCUGGAAACUGUCUGACUUGAGUGCAGAAGGGGAGAGUGGAAUUCCAUGUGUAGCGGUGAAAUGCGUAGAUAUAUGGAGGAACACCAGUGGCGAAAGCGGCUCUCUGGUCUGUCACUGACGCUGAGGCUCGAAAGCGUGGGUAGCGAACAGGAUUAGAUACCCUGGUAGUCCACGCCGUAAACGAUGAGUGCUAGGUGUUAGGCCCUUUCCGGGGCUUAGUGCCGGAGCUAACGCAAUAAGCACUCCGCCUGGGGAGUACGACCGCAAGGUUGAAACUCAAAGGAAUUGACGGGGGCCCGCACAAGCGGUGGAGCAUGUGGUUUAAUUCGAAGCAACGCGAAGAACCUUACCAGGUCUUGACAUCCCGAUGCUAUUCUUAGAGAUAGGAAGUUACUUCGGUACAUCGGAGACAGGUGGUGCAUGGUUGUCGUCAGCUCGUGUCGUGAGAUGUUGGGUUAAGUCCCGCAACGAGCGCAACCCUUAUUGUUAGUUGCCAUCAUUAAGUUGGGCACUCUAGCGAGACUGCCGGUAAUAAACCGGAGGAAGGUGGGGAUGACGUCAAAUCAUCAUGCCCCUUAUGACCUGGGCUACACACGUGCUACAAUGGUCGGUACAACGAGUUGCGAGCCGGUGACGGCAAGCUAAUCUCUGAAAGCCGAUCUCAGUUCGGAUUGGAGGCUGCAACUCGCCUCCAUGAAGUCGGAAUCGCUAGUAAUCGCGGAUCAGCACGCCGCGGUGAAUACGUUCCCGGGCCUUGUACACACCGCCCGUCACACCACGAGAGUUUGUAACACCCGAAGUCGGUGAGGUAACCUUUUAGG